This 253-nucleotide ribosomal RNA is filed under the name uncultured bacterium. RNAcentral's name for it is "partial 16S ribosomal RNA". It matches the Rfam family "Bacterial small subunit ribosomal RNA", at positions 524 to 776 of the family's 1533-position model. The record is from RNAcentral.
UACGGAGGGUGCAAGCAUUAAUCGGAUUUAUUGGGCGUAAAGGGGGCGUAGGCCGAAAUGAAAGCCGGAUGUGAAAUCCCAGGGCUCAACCUUGGAACUGCAUUCGGAACUCCAUUUCUAGAGGAUAGGCGGAGAAAACGGAAUUCCACAUGUAGCGGUGAAAUGCGUAGAUAUGUGGAAGAACACCGGUGGCGAAGGCGGUUUUCUAGCUUAUUCCUGACGCUGAGGCCCGAAAGCUAGGGGAGCAAACAGG